Molecule: transfer RNA, 73 nt
Filed under: Acinetobacter pittii PHEA-2
Lineage: Bacteria; Pseudomonadati; Pseudomonadota; Gammaproteobacteria; Moraxellales; Moraxellaceae
Description: tRNA-Val (TAC) (tRNA-Val-TAC-2-1)
Rfam family: tRNA
About the family: Transfer RNA (tRNA) molecules are approximately 80 nucleotides in length.
Source: RNAcentral
AGCUCAGUUGGUAGAGCGUCUGCCUUACAAGCAGAAUGUCGGCGCGCGGGUUCGAGCCCCGUCCGCUGCGCCA